This 2363-nucleotide long non-coding RNA is filed under the name Phasianus colchicus (ring-necked pheasant). Its description in RNAcentral is "lncRNA (ENSPCLG00000013605.1)". Lineage: Eukaryota; Metazoa; Chordata; Aves; Galliformes; Phasianidae. The record is from RNAcentral.
AGGGUCAUCAGAUUGAGCCCACGGCCAACAGAUUGCCACCCAAGGCCACCCAAGGUCAUCAGAUUGAACCCACAGCCAACAGAUUGCCUCCAAGGUCAUCAAAUUGAUCCUGUGGCCAUCGAGUUGCCCCCCAGGGUCAUCAGAUUGAACCCGUGGCCAACAGAUUGCCUCCAAGGUCAUCAGUUUGACCCGAAGACCAUCAAGUUCCCACCCAGGGUCAUCAAACUGAACCCAUGGCCAACAGAUUGCCACCCAAGGUCAUCAAAUCGAUCCUGCGGCCAGCAAGUUGCCCCCCAGGGUCAUCAGAUUGAACCCACGGCCAACAGAUUGCCUCCAAGGUCAUCAAAUGGAUCCUGUGGCCAUCGAGUUGCUCCCCACGGUCAUCAGAUUGAACCCGUGGCCAACAGAUUGCCUCCAAGGUCAUCAGUUUGACCCCAAGACCAUCAAGUUCCCACCCAGGGUCAUCAAACUGAACCCAUGGCCAACAGAUUGCCACCCAGGGUCAUCAGAUUGAGCCCAUGGCCAACAGAUUGCACCCCAUGGCCACCAAAUUGAUCCUGUGGCCAUCGAGUUGCCCCUCAGGGUCAUCAAUUUGACCCCAAGACCAUCAAGUUGCCCCCCAGGGUCAUCAAACUGAACCCAUGGCCAACAGAUUGCCACCCAACAUCAUCAGGUCGAACCCAUGGCCAACAGAUUGCCUCCAAGUUCAUCAAUUUGACCCCAAGACCAUCAAGUUGCCACCCAGGUUCAUCAGAUUGAACCCACAGCCAACAGAUUGCCCCGCAUGGCCACCAAAUCGAUCCUGUGGCCAUCAAGUUGUCCCCCAGGGUCAUCAAUUUGACCCCAAGAUCAUCAAGUUGCCACCCAGGGUCAUCAGAUUGAGCCCAUGGCCAAUAGAUUGCCCCUCAUGGCCACCAAAUCAAUCCUGUGGCCAUCAAGUUGCUUCCCAAGGUCAUCAGAACGAACCCAUGGCCAACAAAAUGCCCCCUACGGUCACCAAACUGACCCAGCAGCCAAAAAAUUACCCCCCAAGGUCAUCAAAUUGAACCCGUGGCCAACAAAUUGCCCCCAACAUCAUCAAAUUGAAUGCAAGGCCAACAAGUUGCCCCCCAAGGUCAUCAAAUUGCCCCCCAUGGUCUCCAAGCUGCCCCUCGGGCCCUAUAACCCCUCACCCACCUCCUGUUUCCCCCCCCCCAGGACCCCGUGCCCCCUCCCCAUACCCGCUCCAGGCUCCUCCUUUGCCCUCGCUGGGCUCUCCUCAGGGGGCCGCUCGCUGUCAGCCGGGCCCCCUUUGCCCCCCCGGGGGGAGCGCAGCAGGGUCAGCAUCACUGGGCGCCGGUUCCCCGUCUCCUCGUUCACCUGAGGGGGGGGACAGCAAUGGGGACAGCGGUGACACGGCGGUCAUGGGGGAAGGGGGACAGCGGGGGGGAAGGUGACAACGGGGAGGAGGUGACAAUGGUGGGAAGGUGACAGCAGUGAGAAGGUGACAAUGGGGAGAAGGUGACAACGGUGGGGAAGGUGACAAUGGGGAGAAGGUGACAACGGUGGUGAAGGUGACAACGGUGGUGAAGGUGACAGUGGGGAGAAGGUGACAAUGGGGAGAAGGUGACAACGGUGGUGAAGGUGACAACGGGGAGAAGGUGACAACGGGGAGAAGGUGACAGUAGCCAAAGGGAGAUGACAACGGUGAGAAAGUGACAACGGUGAGAAGGUGACAAAUGUGAGAAGGUGACAACAGCCAAGAGGUGACAGCAAUGAGAAAGUGACAACAGCCAAGGGGAGGUGACAACAGUGAGAAGGUGACAACAGUGAGAAGGUGACAGUGGUCAAAAGGAGGUGUCACUAGUGAGAAGGAGGUGACAACGUUACGAAGGAGGUGACAACGUUACGAAGGAGGUGACAAAAGUGAGAAGGCAAAAUCAGCCAAGGGAAGGUGACAAAAGUAGGAAGGUGACACUGGUGAAAAGGAGGUGACAACAGUGAGAAGGUGACAGCAGACACAGAGAGGUGACAACGAGCACCAAGUAACAAAGGUGACAGAGAGGUGACAGCAGUGACAGGGAGGUGACCAGGUGACACAGUGGAGCCAGCAGUGACAGGGAGGUGACAAUGAUGACACGGAGGUGCCAGUGGUGACAGGAAGGUGACAGCAGUGACAUGGAGGUGACAAUGAUGAUGAAGUGACAACUAGGACCAAGUAACAAAGGUGACAGGGAGGUGACAGCAGUGACAGGGAAGUGACCAGGUGUCACAGAGGUGCCAGCAGUGACAUGAAGGUGACAAUGGGUGAGAUGGAGGUGACAGCAGUGACAGGGAGGUGACAACUAGGACCAGGUGCCAGCAGCGACAUGGAGGUGACAAUG